RNAcentral lists this transfer RNA (68 nucleotides) under Chelonodontops patoca (milkspotted puffer). RNAcentral describes it as "tRNA-Asp". Lineage: Eukaryota; Metazoa; Chordata; Actinopteri; Tetraodontiformes; Tetraodontidae. The record is from RNAcentral.
AAGAUACUAGUAAUAAAUUACACUGCCUUGUCAAGGCAGAAUUGUGGGUGGAACCCCCACGUAUCUUG